This 827-nucleotide ribosomal RNA is filed under the name uncultured bacterium. RNAcentral describes it as "bacterial SSU rRNA". It matches the Rfam family "Bacterial small subunit ribosomal RNA", at positions 95 to 899 of the family's 1533-position model. The record is from RNAcentral.
GCAGCGAACGGGUGAGUAACGCGUGGGUGAUCUUCCUUCGAGUGGGGAACAACAUCGGGAAACUGGUGCUAAUUCCGCAUAAUACCCUGGGGCUACGAGCCUCAGGAUCAAAGCCGGGGACCGCAAGGCCUGGCGCUUGAAGAUGAGCCCGCGUCCGAUUAGCUAGUUGGCGGGGUAAUGGCCCACCAAGGCUUCGAUCGGUAGCCGGCCUGAGAGGGCGGACGGCCACACUGGAACUGAGACACGGUCCAGACUCCUACGGGAGGCAGCAGUGGGGAAUUUUUCGCAAUGGGCGCAAGCCUGACGAAGCAACGCCGCGUGGAGGAUGAAGGUCUUCGGAUUGUAAACUCCUGUCGACCGGGACGAAUGCACUCGACCUAAUACGUCGGAAUGUUGACGGUACCGGUGGAGGAAGCCACGGCUAACUCUGUGCCAGCAGCCGCGGUAAUACAGAGGUGGCAAGCGUUGUUCGGAAUUACUGGGCGUAAAGGGCGCGUAGGCGGCCCCAUAAGUCUCGUGUGAAAGCCCUCGGCUUAACUGAGGAUCUGCACGGGAUACUGUAGGGCUCGAGUUCGGGAGAGGAAAGCGGAAUUCCGGGUGUAGCGGUGAAAUGCGUAGAUAUCCGGAGGAACACCAGUGGCGAAGGCGGCUUUCUGGACCGACACUGACGCUGAGGCGCGAACGCUAGGGGAGCAAACGGGAUUAGAUACCCCGGUAGUCCUAGCUGUAAACGAUGAUCGCUGGGUGUGGGGGGGGUUUUACUCCCCCCGUGCCGAAGCUAACGCAUUAAGCGAUCCGCCUGGGGGAGUACGGUCGCAAGGCUGAAA